RNAcentral lists this long non-coding RNA (1514 nucleotides) under Marmota monax (woodchuck). Lineage: Eukaryota; Metazoa; Chordata; Mammalia; Rodentia; Sciuridae. The record is from RNAcentral.
CUUAAACUAGAAGAAAAUGUUUAGUGAAAAAAACUAUUAUUUUACAAUUUUGCAAAUCUCUUAAUGUCUGUUUUUACAGAAGAGGGAUUCUCAUGUCUAUUUCUGCAUUGAACUUGUUGCAAUGUGCUGUUUUUGGUGAAGAACAUGAAAAUAAUGUUGCCUUAUUCAGAUAGGUAGUUGGAAAAAAGAAAAAAAUUAAUAUUUUUAAUAGCUUUAAAAUAAAAUUUUAAAAUAAAAAAAUAAUUUUUAAUAGCUUUUCAGAUAAUUUGGACGGUCUUUAACAGUUGUUAGAUGGCCUUCCAUCACUAUAACAAAAUACCUGAGAAAAUCAGCUUAAAUGAGGAAAGAUUUGUUUGGGCUCAUAAUUAAGGGGUUUCAGUCCACAGUCACUUGACUAUUGUUUUUGGGCUAUGGUGAGGCAGAACAUCAUGGCCAGGAGUGUGUGGCAGAGCAAAGCUGCUGCACAUCUCCUGCUUGGGAAGGAGAGAGAGAAAGGGGAUGGGAGUGCAGCGCACGUACAGAAAGAAGGAAAGGGGCUGGGGAUAAGAGGUAAAGUUCCCAAGGGCAUACUCCCAAGAACCCACAUCCUACAACAAGGUCUUACCUCCUACAGUUUCCAUUAAUCUAUCCAGCUAUGAAUCCUUUAACAGACUAAUCCAUUGCUGAGGUUAGUGCCCUCAUGAUACAAUGAACAUUGUUGUAGUGGGGACCUACCUUUCAGCACAUGAGCCUUGGAAUAUUUCAGAUCCCAACUACUGUAGUCUCCCUUUAUCUGUGGGGGAUACAUUCAAAGACCCCCAGUGGAUGUCUGAAACUGCAAAUAGUACUGAACUCUAUUACAUUGUUUUUUUUUCCCUAUACAUACAUACCCACAAUAAAGUUUAAUUUAUAAUUAGGAACAGGAAGAGACAAACAACAAUAAAAUAGAACAAUGACAACAAUAUACUGUCAUAUAAGUUAUGUGAAUAUUGUCUGUCUCUCAGAUUAUCUUACUGACCUGUACGCACCCUUCUUUUUGUGAUGAGGUGAGACAAUGCACAGCCUGCACGAUGAGAUGAAGUAGUGAAUGGCAGAGGCGUUGUGUUAUAGGCUGUUAGGUAAACUUUACUUGAACACAGGCGUUGUGAUACCAUUGAUGUGAUAACCCACAUGGCUAGUAAGUGACUAAGAGAGGACAGUGGGUAGAGUAAGGAGACUCUAGACACAGACAUGAUUCAUGUCCAGAAUGGGACAGAAGGGGAGAUCAAGAUUUCAUCACAUUACACAGAAUGAUGCACAAUUUAAAACUCAUGAAUUGUUUAUGUCUGGAAUUUUUCAUGUAAUAUUUCCAGACCAUGGUUUAGUGCUAGUAACUGCAGAAAAUGAAACUUCUGAUAAGGGUGGGAGAUAGCUACUACGUGAUAGUUACUUAAAAGAUGGAUACAAGGUGGGAUCUGAAACCAUACCAAAAAGCUUUUUGUCCACUGACCCAUUUAAAUCCCUUGUCCCUCUUGCCCUUUGAAUGGAUAUUUUGC